GUGGGGAAUCUUGCGCAAUGGGCGAAAGCCUGACGCAGCCAUGCCGCGUGAAUGAUGAAGGUCUUAGGAUUGUAAAAUUCUUUCACCGGGGACGAUAAUGACGGUACCCGGAGAAGAAGCUCCGGCUAACUUCGUGCCAGCAGCCGCGGUAAUACGAAGGGGGCUAGCGUUGCUCGGAAUUACUGGGCGUAAAGGGCGCGUAGGCGGACAGCUUAGUCAGAGGUGAAAGCCCAGGGCUCAACCUUGGAAUUGCCUUUGAUACUGGCUGUCUUGAGUUUGGGAGAGGUGAGUUGAACUCCGAGUGUAGAGGUGAAAUUCGUAGAUAUUCGGAAGAACACCAGUGGCGAAGGCGACUCACUGGCCCAAUACUGACGCUGAGGCGCGAAAGCGUGGGGAGCAAACAGGAUUAGAUACCGAGUAGUCC
RNAcentral lists this ribosomal RNA (424 nucleotides) under uncultured bacterium. RNAcentral describes it as "partial 16S ribosomal RNA". It matches the Rfam family "Bacterial small subunit ribosomal RNA", at positions 354 to 796 of the family's 1533-position model. The record is from RNAcentral.